Molecule: ribosomal RNA, 497 nt
Filed under: uncultured bacterium
Lineage: Bacteria
Description: partial 16S ribosomal RNA
Rfam family: Bacterial small subunit ribosomal RNA
Source: RNAcentral
GAUGAACGCUGGCGGCGUGCCUAAUACAUGCAAGUCGAGCGAACAGACGAGGAGCUUGCUCCUCUGACGUUAGCGGCGGACGGGUGAGUAACACGUGGAUAACCUACCUAUAAGACUGGGAUAACUUCGGGAAACCGGAGCUAAUACCGGAUAAUAUAUUGAACCGCAUGGUUCAAUAGUGAAAGACGGUUUUGCUGUCACUUAUAGAUGGAUCCGCGCCGUAUUAGCUAGUUGGUAAGGUAACGGCUUACCAAGGCGACGAUGCGUAGCCGACCUGAGAGGGUGAUCGGCCACACUGGAACUGAGACACGGUCCAGACUCCUACGGGAGGCAGCAGUAGGGAAUCUUCCGCAAUGGGCGAAAGCCUGACGGAGCAACGCCGCGUGAGUGAUGAAGGUCUUCGGAUCGUAAAACUCUGUUAUUAGGGAGGAACAAAUGUGUAAGUAACUAUGCACGUCUUGACGGUACCUAAUCAGAAAGCCACGGCUAACUACGUG